UGAAUACGAGAUACUAAGGUAUCGAAGUGGUUGAUGUCAUACUUCCAAGAAAAGCUCGAAAUAUCUUAAACAAUAAACGCCUGUACCUUAAACCGACACAGGUAGGUAGGUAGAGUAUACCAAGGGGCGCGAGAUAACUCUCUCUAAGGAACUCGGCAAAAUAACCUCGUAACUUCGGAAGAAGAGGUACCCUUGCAAGAGGGUUGCAAUAACCAGACCCUGGCGACUGUUUACCAAAAACACAGGUCUCCGCUAAUUCGUAAGAUUAUGUAUGGAGGCUGACGCCUGCCCAGUGCCGGAAGGUUAAAGAAGUCGGUCAAUCCUCGGAUGAAGCUGGCGACUGAAGCCCCGGUGAACGGCGGCCGUAACUAUAACGGCCCUAAGGUAGCGAAGUUCCUUGUCGGGUAAGUUCCGACCCGCACGAAAGGCGUAACGAUCAGGGUGCUGUCUCGGAGAGAGGCUCGGCGAAAUAGACAUGUCUGUGAAGAUGCGGACUACCUGCACCUGGACAGAAAGACCCUAUGAAGCUUUACUGUAUCUUGGAAUUGGGUUUGGGCCUUGCUUGCGCAGGAUAGGUGGGAGGCUUUGAAGAUGCUCUUGCGGGAGCGUUGGAGCCAAUGGUGAGAUACCACUCUAGCAUGGCUAAAAUUCUAACUUUGAACCGUUAUCCGGUCGAAGAACAGUUUCAGGUGGGCAGUUUGACUGGGGCGGUCGCCUCCUAAAAGGUAACGGAGGCGUGCAAAGGUUCCCUCAGGCUGGUCGGACAUCAGUCGUAGAGUGUAAAGGCAUAAGGGAGCUUGACUGCGAGACCUACAAGUCGAGCAGAGACGAAAGUCGGCCUUAGUGAUCCGACGGUUCCGAGUGGAAGGGCCGUCGCUCAACGGAUAAAAGUUACUCUAAGGAUAACAGGCUGAUCUCCCCCAAGAGUUCAUAUCGACGGGGAGGUUUGGCACCUCGAUGUCGGCUCAUCGCAUCCUGGGGCGGUAGUACGUCCCAAGGGUUGGGCUGUUCGCCCAUGAAAGCGGUACGCGAGCUGGGUUCAGAACGUCGUGAGACAGUUCGGUCCAUAUCCGGUGCAGGCGUUAGAGUAUUGAGAGGAGUCCCCCUUAGUACGAGAGGACCGGGGGGAAUACACCGCUGGUGUACCAGUUAUCGUGCCAACGGUAGGCACUGGGUAGCCAAGUGUAGAGUGGAUAACUGCUGAAAGCAUCUAAGUAGGAAGCCCACCUCAAGACGAGUACUCUCACCGUUAUAAACGGUUAAGAUCACGGGAAGAACACCCGUUAUAUAGGCACUAAGUGUAAGUACAGUAAUGUAUUCAGCUGAGGUGUACUAACUGAUCGAGGGCUUGAC
This 1353-nucleotide ribosomal RNA is filed under the name metagenome. Its description in RNAcentral is "bacterial LSU rRNA". It matches the Rfam family "Bacterial large subunit ribosomal RNA", at positions 1564 to 2925 of the family's 2925-position model. The record is from RNAcentral.